UGUCGGAUUCAUUGCGUAUUCAGGUGCAUCAGGUAUGAUUUACUUUAUCCAGGUUUUUACGCUGGCUAUAAAAAAAACGAGGGGUGAUUUGAUUAUGACAUAUUUUGCUCACAGAUUUUAUAGUAAAAUCUUAGCAAGCUGUAAUUCUGGUUUGUUUAUUAAAUUGUCAAAAAUUUUCACCACAUUCGUGUUGCACCUAGAAGAAUUUCUUAAAUCAAAUUUUAUUGAUGUAUCGUAUAAAUUUGUUCAAUUUAUUUAUUUCACGUGAUUUUAGGUUCCCCAAUCAAUCGGAUACGUGGGUUUCAAUUUGAACUUCGCAUAAUAGACAAACUUAGAAGACGAAGAUGUCCCUACAUUAUAAUAUUCCAUUCCGAAAAAAUAAUCAUCAAUCAACAACUUUCACUUGGAUCAAUAAAUCGAAAAACUGUGCAAUCUAACUUAAAUUUUUGAGUCUUGGCCGUAUGAAUAAAAUAAACCUAAGCACA
Aedes aegypti (yellow fever mosquito) is the source of this 485-nucleotide long non-coding RNA. RefSeq lists it as uncharacterized. The transcript is spliced from 2 exons. Lineage: Eukaryota; Metazoa; Arthropoda; Insecta; Diptera; Culicidae. The record is from RefSeq and is a predicted model, not a curated record.